CCGCAGCCGCGUUACACUGAUGCGUGCAACGAGUUUAGAACCUUGGCCGGGAGGCCUGGGUAAUCUGUGAACGCGCAUCGUGAUAGGGAUAGAUUAUUGCAAUUAUUAAUCUUGAACGAGGAAUUCCUAGUAAACGCAAGUCAUCAGCUUGCAUUGAUUACGUCCCUGCCCUUUGUACACACCGCCCGU
Molecule: ribosomal RNA, 189 nt
Filed under: uncultured eukaryote
Lineage: Eukaryota
Description: partial 18S ribosomal RNA
Rfam family: Eukaryotic small subunit ribosomal RNA
Source: RNAcentral